GUCAACGGCCAUACCAUGCUGAAAGUACCGGUUCUCGUCCGAUCACCGAAGUCAAGCAGCAUCGAGCGCGGUCAGUACUUGGGAAGGCGACCACCUGGGAACACCGCGUGCUGUUGACA
Molecule: non-coding RNA, 119 nt
Organism: Stegodyphus mimosarum
Lineage: Eukaryota; Metazoa; Arthropoda; Arachnida; Araneae; Eresidae
Source: Rfam